GCGUCGGCGUUCUUUUGUUCGUUUUUAAAAGGCAAAGUUCCGCUUUAAGAGGGAAAGCCGUUAUACUCUUGGUAAAGUAAUUCUAGAUGAUGGAGGAUAUGAAACACCGUAUAACAACAAUCAUAACGUAUCCAAAGCGUGAUUCUGAUCGACGAGAAAUAUAGAAGGGGGGGCCUUCGUCGUCUUCUGAGUUAAAGGGUGGAAAAGAACAAAAAAGAAUAAAAAAAUUGAAAGGAAAAAAAAAGAUAGGGCAGGUUGACGGCAUAUGGCUGCCGGUAGAACGGUAUCCGCCUAGUUAGCAGAAACUUUCACGAUACACCUAUGAUCGUUCGUUGAAGGGGAAUCGAGAAGGAGCACGUUAGAAAAGCAACGAAAA
Molecule: long non-coding RNA, 376 nt
Filed under: Polistes fuscatus (common paper wasp)
Lineage: Eukaryota; Metazoa; Arthropoda; Insecta; Hymenoptera; Vespidae
Description: uncharacterized LOC122524094
Source: RNAcentral